Molecule: unclassified non-coding RNA, 238 nt
Filed under: Glomus sp.
Lineage: Eukaryota; Fungi; Glomeromycota; Glomeromycetes; Glomerales; Glomeraceae
Description: partial contains 5.8S ribosomal RNA and internal transcribed spacer 2
Source: RNAcentral
GUGAAUCAUCAAAUCUUUGAACGCAAAUUGCAUUCUUUUCGGAGAGUAUGCGUGUUUGAGGGUGAGAAUAUAAAAAAUUGACAUCGUUGCUGUUUGGCGGUGGCGUUGGUCGGAAAUUGGGUCACAUUAAAUGUUUUGGUUUUAAGCGAAUUAAAAUUUUAUUUUUGGUUUCAUGAACGUUUAUCAGAUUUAUUUCGUUACACGUUUAAGGUAUCGAUUUUUAGUAGACGUGAUUAAA